This 607-nucleotide ribosomal RNA is filed under the name uncultured bacterium. RNAcentral's name for it is "bacterial SSU rRNA". It matches the Rfam family "Bacterial small subunit ribosomal RNA", at positions 333 to 932 of the family's 1533-position model. The record is from RNAcentral.
AGACUCCUACGGGAGGCAGCAGUGAGGAAUAUUGCGCAAUGGGGGAAACCCUGACGCAGCGACGCCGCGUGAGUGAGGAAGGCCUUCGGGUCGUAAAGCUCUGUCAGUAGGGAAGAAAUGUAUAUAAGUUAAUACCUUAUAUAUUUGACGGUACCUGCAAAGGAAGCACCGGCUAACUCCGUGCCAGCAGCCGCGGUAAUACGGAGGGUGCAAGCGUUGUUCGGAAUCACUGGGCGUAAAGGGAGCGCAGGCGGUUUGUCAAGUCAGAUGUGAAAGCCCACGGCUCAACCGUGGAAGUGCAUUUGAAACUGGCAAACUUGAGUAUCAGAGGGGAAAGUGGAAUUCCCGGUGUAGAGGUGAAAUUCGUAGAUAUCGGGAGGAAUACCGGUGGCGAAGGCGACUUUCUGGCUGAAUACUGACGCUGAGGCUCGAAAGCGUGGGGAGCAAACAGGAUUAGAUACCCUGGUAGUCCACGCCGUAAACGAUGUGAACUAGAUGUAGGAGGUAUUGAUCCCUUCUGUGUCGCAGCUAACGCAUUAAGUUCACCGCCUGGGGAGUACGGUCGCAAGAUUAAAACUCAAGGAAUUGACGGGGGCCCGCACAGCGG